AAAUGUUCGUCCUACUGAAGCCGGUAAAAUACCUUCAACAAUCGGAGGUAAAUCCCUCCAGGUGGUCCGACGUGUGGAUGUCUGACGUAGUCACCACUCCUCCUCGACGACGUCAUCACUUAGAUCGGAAUGUCAUUGGGUAAUACCUGAGUCAAUCAUAAAGGGGUGGGGAAAGGGGGAGGAUUAUACACAGACGGACGCUCCGCCCCUAAACUCCAUCUAUCCAGUAGGAUACGCUUUAUGGGCAUUGA
Non-coding RNA from Pelobates cultripes (western spadefoot toad), 251 nucleotides. Lineage: Eukaryota; Metazoa; Chordata; Amphibia; Anura; Pelobatidae. The record is from the annotation of a GenBank genome assembly.